Molecule: ribosomal RNA, 1265 nt
Filed under: metagenome
Description: SSU rRNA
Rfam family: Eukaryotic small subunit ribosomal RNA
Source: RNAcentral
ACUCUUGGUUAUUCUAAGAAGUGUAAUGAGGAUAAUUUAAAACCCUUACCGAAAGCAAUUGGAGGGCAAGUCUGGUGCCAGCAGCCGCGGUAAUUCCAGCUCCAAUAGCGUUUAUUAAAGUUGUUGCAGUUAAAAAGCUCGUAGUUGAAGUUCUGGCUGAUUGACCCUCGAGCUUCGUAGCCGAGGGCUCGUCAGUCAUCCGCUUGCAAAUAUAUGUUCGCCUUUAACCGGGCGGCUAUAUGAGUAAGCAAUUUACCUUGAGAAAAACAGAGUGUUCCAGGCAGGUUUGUCCGGAAUGCAUUAGCAUGGAAUAAUAGAAUAUGACUGAAGUCGAUUUAUUGGUUUGAGGCUUUAGUAAUGAUUAAUAGGAACAGUCGGGGGCAUUGGUACUUGACAGUCAGAGGUGAAAUUCUAGGAUUUGUCAAAGACUAACAAAUGCGAAAGCAUUUGCCAGGGAUGUUUUCAUUAAUCAAGAACGAAAGUUAGGGGAUCAAAGACGAUCAGAUACCGUCCUAGUCUUAACUAUAAACGAUACCGACUCGGAUUCAGAUGAAUCAUAAAGUUCAUUUGGGACCGUAGGAGAAAUCAAAGUUUUUGGGUUCUGGGGGAAGUAUGGUCGCAAGGCUGAAACUUAAAGGAAUUGACGGUUUUGCACCACCAUGGAGUGGAGUCUGCGGCUUAAUUUGACCCAACACUGGGAAACCCAUCAGGGCAAGAAGAUUGUAGGAUUGACAGAUUGAGAGUUCUUUCUUGAUUGGUCUAGUGGUGGUGCAUGGCCGUUCUUAGUUGGUGGAGUGAUUUGUCUGGUUAAUUCCGUUAACGAACGAGACCUUAACCUGCUAACUAGUACACCGAUGACAAAUCGGCGAUACUUCUUAGAGGGACUAUGUGAUGUAAUCACAUGGAAGUUUGAGGCAAUAACAGGUCUGUGAUGCCCUUAGAUGUCCUGAGCUGCACGCGUACUACAAUGGUGCUUUCAACGAGCUUUUCCUGAUCCGAAAGGAUUUGGGUAAUCUUUUUAGUGAGCACCGUGCUUGGGAUUGAUCUUUGUAAUUAUGGAUCAUGAACUAGGAAUUCCUAGUAAGCACGUGUCAUCAGCACGUGCUGAUUACGUCCCUGCAAAAUGUACACACCGCCCGUCGCUAUUACCGAUUGAGUGUAAAGGUGAACCUUCUCGAUAGACGCAAGUUUAGAAAUUAAGUAAACCUUUGCACUUAGAGGAAAUAAAAGUCGUAACAAGGUUUCCGUAGGUGAACCUGCGGAAG